AUACGUAGGUGGCGAGCGUUGUCCGGAUUUACUGGGUGUAAAGGGCGCGUAGGCGGGGGUGCAAGUCAGAUGUGAAAUCUCCAGGCUCAACCUGGAAACUGCAUUUGAAACUGCAUUUCUUGAGUAUCGGAGAGGCAGGCGGGAUUCUGUGGGUAGCGGUGAAAUGCGUAGAUAUACGGAAGAACACCAGUGGCGAAGGCGGCCUGCUGGACGACAACUGACGCUGAGGCGCGAAAGCGUGAGGAGCAAACAGGAUUAGAUACCCUGGUAGUCCACGCUGUAAACGAUGAUUACUAGGUGUGGGGGGACUGACCCCUUCCGUGCCGCAGUUAACACAAUAAGUAAUCCACCUGGGGAGUACGGCCGCAAGGUUGAAACUCAA
RNAcentral lists this ribosomal RNA (382 nucleotides) under uncultured bacterium. RNAcentral's name for it is "partial 16S ribosomal RNA". It matches the Rfam family "Bacterial small subunit ribosomal RNA", at positions 523 to 904 of the family's 1533-position model. The record is from RNAcentral.